RNAcentral lists this ribosomal RNA (460 nucleotides) under uncultured bacterium. Its description in RNAcentral is "partial 16S ribosomal RNA". It matches the Rfam family "Bacterial small subunit ribosomal RNA", at positions 338 to 795 of the family's 1533-position model. The record is from RNAcentral.
CCUACGGGUGGCUGCAGUGAGGAAUAUUGGUCAAUGGGCGCUAGCCUGAACCAGCCAAGCCGCGUGAGGGACGAAGGUCCUACGUGUCGUAAACUUCUUUUAUAGGGGAACAAAGUGAAGUACUUAUCCUGCUUUGCCUGUACCUUAUGAAAAAGGAUCGGCUAACUCCGUGCCAGCAGCCGCGGGAAUACGGAGGAUCCGAGCGUUCUCCGGAUUUAAUGGGUUUAAAGGGUGCGUAGGCGGGUUGUUAAUUCAGGUGGGAAAGGUUGCGGCUCAAACGAAGCAUUGCAGUUGAUACUGGCAUCCGUGAGUACAGUAGAGGUAGGCGGAAUUCGGGGUGUAGCGGUGAAAUGCUUAGAUAUCACGAAGAACUCCGAUGGCGAAGGCAGCCUGCUGGACUGUAACUGACGCUGAUGCUCGAAAGUGUGGGUAUCAAACAGGAUUAGAUACCCGUGUAGUC